Molecule: ribosomal RNA, 612 nt
Filed under: uncultured bacterium
Lineage: Bacteria
Description: bacterial SSU rRNA
Rfam family: Bacterial small subunit ribosomal RNA (bases 1-518)
Source: RNAcentral
CCUACGGGAGGCAGCAGUGGGGAAUCUUGCGCAAUGGGCGAAAGCCUGACGCAGCAACGCCGCGUGCGGGAUGAAGGCCUUCGGGUUGUAAACCGCUUUCAGCAGGGAAGAAAUUGACGGUACCUGCAGAAGAAGCCCCGGCCAACUACGUGCCAGCAGCCGCGGUAACACGUAGGGGGCGAGCGUUGUCCGGAUUUAUUGGGCGUAAAGAGCUCGUAGGCGGUUCACUAAGUCGGGUGUGAAACCUCCAGGCUCAACCUGGAGACGCCACCUGAUACUGGUGUGACUAGAGUCCGGUAGGGGAGUGUGGAACUCCUGGUGUAGCGGUGAAAUGCGCAGAUAUCAGGAAGAACACCAGCGGCGAAGGCGGCACUCUGGGCCGGUACUGACGCUGAGGAGCGAAAGCGUGGGUAGCAAACAGGAUUAGAUACCCUGGUAGUCCACGCCGUAAACGUUGGGCACUAGGUNUGGGUCUNAACCACGAGAUCCGUGCCGCAGCUACGCAUAAGUAGCCCGCCGUCGGGAGGUACGGCCGGCGACGGACGUAAACCGUACAAACGGAAGUUAGACGGCGUGAGACGUCGCCGAACGGACGACGACGAGGGAGGUAGG